CAGAGUGAAUGAACCCGCGCGCUGACAGCCCGGGCCGUGUGUAGUGCGCCUGCGACGCCGACGUCUGCUCCGUACGGGACCUGUUCCGCUGAGCCGACACGCAACCGGAGCGCGCCAGGGGUCGACUUCUCGCCGAGCCGAAGGUGGCUGGACGUUUUGACAUCGUCGCGGGGAGAAGCCAAGAUAAUAUUUCCAGCAUCGAAGGAUUACAUUGUUCUGGCAGGUUCAGGCACCGUGGCCAUGCGCCUCACAGGGGAUUCGCUGCUAGCAGAGUAAAAGGACCCCUCCAACGUAUGCUGACCAACUUCGAUGUAGCAUCGUGCGUCAGAGAUCAGAUGGGGGCGAGGCAGCGGCGGCGCUGAGGGAUGCGUGGCCAGCUGACUCGUUGCGUGCUGCUGCUGCCGCUGCUGCUGCUGCCGUGGCCGGCCGGCGCCGCCCCCGCACCCGCGCCCCU
Molecule: long non-coding RNA, 454 nt
Organism: Schistocerca nitens (vagrant locust)
Lineage: Eukaryota; Metazoa; Arthropoda; Insecta; Orthoptera; Acrididae
Exons: 4
Source: RefSeq, a predicted model, not a curated record